RNAcentral lists this unclassified non-coding RNA (378 nucleotides) under plant metagenome. RNAcentral's name for it is "partial contains 5.8S ribosomal RNA, internal transcribed spacer 2, and large subunit ribosomal RNA". The stretch from base 1 to 105 matches the Rfam family "5.8S ribosomal RNA", at positions 50 to 154 of the family's 154-position model. The record is from RNAcentral.
GAAAUGCGAUAAGUAAUGUGAAUUGCAGAAUUCAGUGAAUCAUCGAAUCUUAGAACGCACCUUGCGCUCCUUGGUAUUCCUUGGAGCAUGCCUGUUUGAGUAUCAUGAAAUCUUCAAAGUAAAUCUUUUGUUAACUCAAUUGGUUUCUACUUUGGUAUUGGAGGUCUUUGCAGCUUCACACCUGCUCCUCUUUGUUCAUUAGCUGGAUCUCAGUGUUAUGCUUGGUUCCACUCGGCGUGAUAAGUUAUCUAUCGCUGAGGACACUGUAAAAGGUGGCCAAGGUAAAUGCAGAUGAACCGCUUCUAAUAGUCCAUUGACUUGGACAAUACUUUUAUGAUCUGAUCUCAAAUCAGGUAGGACUACCCGCUGAACUUAAGC